Molecule: long non-coding RNA, 824 nt
Organism: Lycium ferocissimum
Lineage: Eukaryota; Viridiplantae; Streptophyta; Magnoliopsida; Solanales; Solanaceae
Exons: 2
Source: RefSeq, a predicted model, not a curated record
GUUGUUUCCAUACUCAUUUAGCUAGUUGGCACAUGAGAUGAUUCGACUUCCCUUUUCAACUUUCACUUCCCCAAUAUUGCGUUUUUCGCAUGAAUAUAUGGCAUGUGAUUUCUUGUUAGUUGGACAUGCAUCUUCUCAAUUGAAGGGCAUGAGAGUUAUCAGUUACAGAUAACUAUUAUAAAUGUGAACUGCUUAUCUUGCUUCUCAUGAAUUGAUCGAUUUUAUGGUUUUUGACCAAUUAUAGCUUAUAUGGUAUAGAAGGGGUGGAACAAGUUUUUUUUUUUUUUUUUAUAAUUGCCAAGUACUCUAUAGUGUUUAGUUCCUUUUUGGUGUACUUAUGAGGUCCCUAUUGGUAUGGAGGAUUGGAUCUCUUUUGUUGAGAACCAUAUUAUGGUGUAGAUUCUCUUCUUUUUGGUAUAAUGUUGUAUACAGGGUUUCCCCAAUUGUUAAUAAUAUACUUUACCUUAGCGGGAAAAAAAAGGUAUAGAAGACCCACAAGAAACUCAAGAAUUGAUACGUUCAAAUUGAACUUACCCAGAUAACUUAAGUCUUCUUGUAAAUGGAAAAUAAGCAACAAAAAACAGGAAAAGGCUCAAAAAGUUAUAAAACUAAAGAUUGUCAUGUUCAGGCGCCUUACACCUGCGAUGUUGUAUGCGAGAUACUUAGUGGGAGGGUGCAGUGGCUGAUACUCUAAACGAGGGCAACAGGUUUCAGCUCUUUUGGUCCAUAAAGUCAGUAUUGACAGUAUGACAAACUUAACCGUGUCUUGGAGUAAUUGCAUUUGGUCAUCUUGUGCCAUACUGUAAAGCCACUUCUGCAAUGUA